Long non-coding RNA from Salvia splendens (bonfire salvia), 599 nucleotides. RefSeq lists it as uncharacterized. NCBI's taxonomy places the organism in Eukaryota, Viridiplantae, Streptophyta, Magnoliopsida, Lamiales, Lamiaceae. The record is from RefSeq and is a predicted model, not a curated record. The transcript is spliced from 2 exons.
GUGGGCUUCAUGCCUCUUUUCUUUUUCCAUUUAAGUUGUUGGGCCAAUAAUAAAAAAAACAGAUGGGCUGCAGAGUAUUAAAAGGAGACUUGGGCCAGUAUAUUUAUUUAAUUGUUGGGCUGAAAUAAUUGAUCCUUGGGCCAAAAUAAAUCAAAGAGGGAGAAGAGCAGUUGGGUCAGACGGAAUUAUUUUACGAAGGAGCUUGGGCUGAAAUUAAUUUAGUCUUAUGCUAGAAUUCUAAUUAAGUUCUUGGGCCAUGAUUAAUUAGGGCAUGCAUUCUAAUUCUAAUUAAAGUUUAAGAAUUUCUCGAGUCUUAUUAGUACAUUGUUUGUUUUCAAAAGGCUAUCUCUGCAAGUUAUGGGUGGAGUCAAGAAAAUUCAAGUAAGGAGUUUUAAGCGAACGAGGUUGAGCAGUGAUGACGGCGGGCGGUGUUGAACAUAGACGAUGAAGAUCCUUCGAUAGAAUAGUACUCGGAUGCGACGUGUCUCCAUACAUGACGUUAUAUGCUCUUGACUCUUCCGCUGCAAUGUAAAAGUCGAGUUUGCUCUCCUUGUAUCGUGCACUCUGAUAUAUAUUAUUUGAGUUAUUUCGGUUCAACU